GACGAACGCUGGCGGCGUGCUUAACACAUGCAAGUCGAACGGAAAGGCCCUGCUUUUGUGGGUUUCUCGAGUGGCGAACGGGUGAGUAACACGUGAGUAACCUGCCCUUGACUUUGGGAUAACUUCAGGAAACUGGGGCUAAUACCGGAUAGGAGCUCCUGCUGCAUGGUGGGGGUUGGAAAGUUUCGGCGGUUGGGGAUGGACUCGCGGCUUAUCAGCUUGUUGGUGGGGUAGUGGCUUACCAAGGCUUUGACGGGUAGCCGGCCUGAGAGGGUGACCGGCCACAAUGGGACUGAGAGACGGCCCAGACUCCUACGGGAGGCAGCAGUGGGGAAUAUUGCACAAUGGGCGGAAGCCUGAGGCAGCAACGCCGCGUGCGGGAUGACGGCCUUCGGGUUGUAAACCGCUUUCGACUGUGACGAAGAGUGAGUGACGGUAAUGGGUAAAGAAGCACCGGCUAACUACGUG
RNAcentral lists this ribosomal RNA (468 nucleotides) under uncultured bacterium. Its description in RNAcentral is "partial 16S ribosomal RNA". It matches the Rfam family "Bacterial small subunit ribosomal RNA", at positions 28 to 507 of the family's 1533-position model. The record is from RNAcentral.